RNAcentral lists this ribosomal RNA (450 nucleotides) under uncultured Glomeromycotina. Its description in RNAcentral is "SSU rRNA". It matches the Rfam family "Eukaryotic small subunit ribosomal RNA", at positions 569 to 1024 of the family's 1831-position model. The record is from RNAcentral. Lineage: Eukaryota; Fungi; Glomeromycota.
CGCAGCCGCGGUAAUUCCAGCUCCAAUAGCGUAUAUUAAAGUUGUUGCAGUUAAAAAGCUCGUAGUUGAAUUUCGGGAUCAGUAGGUCGGUCAUGCCUCAGGUAUGUACUGGUCUCACUGGUUCCUCCUUCCUGAUGAACCGUAAUGCCAUUAAUUCGGUGUUGCGGGGAAACUGGACUGUUACUUUGAAAAAUUAGAGUGUUUAAAGCAGGCUAACGCUUGAAUACAUUAGCAUGGAAUAAUGAAAUAGGACGUUCGAUCCUAUUUUGUUGGUUUCUAGGAUUGACGUAAUGAUUAAUAGGGAUAGUUGGGGGCAUUAGUAUUCAAUUGUCAGAGGUGAAAUUCUUGGAUUUAUUGAAGACUAACUACUGCGAAAGCAUUUGCCAAGGAUGUUUUCAUUAAUCAAGAACGAAAGUUAGGGGAUCGAAGACGAUCAGAUACCGUCGUAGU